UACGUAGGGGGCUAGCGUUGUCCGGAAUCAUUGGGCGUAAAGAGCGUGUAGGCGGCCCGGUAAGUCCGCUGUAAAAGUCAAAGGCUCAACCUUUGAAUGUCAGUGGAUACUGCCGGGCUAGAGUCCGGAAGAGGCGAGUGGAACUCCUGGUGUAGCGGUGGAAUGCGCGGAUAUCAGGAAGAACACCAACGGCGAAGGCAGCUCGCUGGGACGGUACUGACGCUGAGACGCGAAAGCGUGGGGAGCGAACAGG
This 253-nucleotide ribosomal RNA is filed under the name uncultured bacterium. RNAcentral describes it as "partial 16S ribosomal RNA". It matches the Rfam family "Bacterial small subunit ribosomal RNA", at positions 524 to 776 of the family's 1533-position model. The record is from RNAcentral.